ACUUAAUAUAUUUUUUAAGGUGCUUCUAAUUUAGAAGUUAAAAGGGAAAGAGGUGAAAAUCCUCUGCAGCCCCCGCUACUGUGAUGGCAGACGAAAUCUGUUGAAAGCCACUAUCUGUUGAUGAGUAUUGUUUAAUAUUGAGUAUCAGAUGGGAAGGUCAGAGAGUAGGAAGAAGCCAGAGCCAGGAAACCUGCCUUAAAAAAUAGACAACC
This 212-nucleotide non-coding RNA is filed under the name Caminicella sporogenes. The record is from RNAcentral. Lineage: Bacteria; Bacillati; Bacillota; Clostridia; Peptostreptococcales; Caminicellaceae. RNAcentral also lists the same sequence under 1 other name.